Molecule: non-coding RNA, 114 nt
Organism: Acanthosepion pharaonis
Lineage: Eukaryota; Metazoa; Mollusca; Cephalopoda; Sepiida; Sepiidae
Source: the annotation of a GenBank genome assembly
UUAUGGCCAUAUCAUGUUGAAAGACCAAUUCCGAUACAAUCGCCAAAGUUAAGCAACAUCAAGCCUAGUCAGUACCUAGAUGGGUGACUGCUUGGGAAUACCAAGUGCUGUAAG